RNAcentral lists this ribosomal RNA (253 nucleotides) under uncultured bacterium. RNAcentral's name for it is "partial 16S ribosomal RNA". It matches the Rfam family "Bacterial small subunit ribosomal RNA", at positions 524 to 776 of the family's 1533-position model. The record is from RNAcentral.
UACAGAGGGUGCAAACGUUGUUCGGAAUUACUGGGCGUAAAGCGCGUGUAGGCGGCUAUCUAAGUCGGGUGUGAAAGCCCCGGGCUCAACCUGGGAAUUGCAUUCGAGACUGAAUAGCUAGGGUACGGUAGAGGGAAGUGGAAUUUACGGUGUAGCAGUGAAAUGCGUAGAUAUCGUAAGGAAGACCAGUGGCGAAGGCGGAUCUCUGGACAGUUACUGACACUGAGGCACGAAGGCCAGGGGAGCAAACGGG